This 770-nucleotide long non-coding RNA is filed under the name Pogona vitticeps (central bearded dragon). RNAcentral describes it as "lncRNA (ENSPVIG00000001873.1)". The record is from RNAcentral. Lineage: Eukaryota; Metazoa; Chordata; Lepidosauria; Squamata; Agamidae.
AUGGUGCCACAACCCUUUUUUUUUGUUUUUAUUUUUGUUGCACAUGAUUUCAAAUCAAAUGGUGUUUUUAACAUGCUAUUUCUAAGCUCUGCUUGUGACUGGGUCUCCCCUUUAUACAUACAAAUCUUGUGCUGUUUUUCUCCUCUCUCUUUCUCCUUCUCCUCUUCUCCCCAGGUUUUUGUCUUUCUGCCGAUGUUUACUUCAGUCCUUCUUUCACAAAAUCGAAUACUCCAGGUUUUGCUUAACCUCAGAUGACUGGUACAUGGAGAAAGCAAAUUUUGGUAAGAUAAUUAAUCAGCUUCAAGCAAAGCCUGCAUAAGGCCACUUUUAUUCAUUAGCUAGCUGGAUGAGCCAAUGAAGCAUAAAUUGAUUACUUUGACUACAUUAUAUUUUCUACCAGCUCCGGCUCAUUUUCCCUUUAUUUGGUACAUUAAAUAGAAUCAUGAUUUCUAUCAUUUAGGACGGAACACAAUAGAGGAAUAAGAUAUUUUUUUAAUUAAUGGAAUAAUCAAUAGUAACCAAGAGAAAUAGCUAAUAUUUUUGUUCAAAAGCAAGACCAUGACAUUCGGUAAACACAAAAGGAGAGCUUCUUAUGCAUUAAAGGUUAAGGGCUACAUCCAGGAGACAGUCCCACGCAGAACAGGCCUACUGAAUGAAUGUAACAUGUUUGUUGACAUAAUGGGUCUCAUGCAUUUUAACAUUUGGGACUAAUGGGUAAUUUCAGACUAUCAGUUUUAUAGUGCCAUUAGCUCUUGAACAUCAGAACCCAC